CCUAGGGAGGCGGUGGAUGUCCUGAAUCGGGGGCUGGAGGCCGUGAUGGGUUGGAUGUGGGCUAAUAAACUGAAAUUGAAUCUGGAUAAGAUGGAGGUACUGUUGGUCAGUAGGAGAGCCAAUCGGGAUGAGGAGAUUUUACUGGUUCUGGAUGGGGUUGCACUCCCCUUGAAGGAGCAAGUACGCAGCUUGGGGGUACUACUGUACCCGGCUCUGCUUUUGGAAGCUCAGGUGGAGGCGGUAGCCAGGGGUGCCUUUGCACGGCUUCGGCUGGUGUGCCAGCUGCGUCCCUUUCUUGAGAAGGCAGAUCUGGCCACGGUGACCCAUGCCUUAGUCACGUUGCGGCUGGAUUACUGUAAUGCGCUCUACGUGGGGCUGCCCUUGAAGAAUAUCCAGAAACUGCAGCUAGUGCAAAAUGUGGCAGCGAGGGUUUUAUCCGGAGCUGCCCGUUGGGAACAUAUCACCCCCAUUUUGAAAGAGCUGCACUGGCUGCCGGUUUGUUUCCGGGUCCAAUUCAAGGUGCUGGUUUUUACCUUUAAAGCCCUAAAUGGUUUGGGCCCGGGGUAUUUGAGGGACGACCUGCUCCCAAGGGUUGCUGCUCGCUUGACUAGGACAUCUGAGGGGGCCCUGUUCCGGGUGCUGACAAUGAGGGAGGCCCGGCUGUCGUGCACUCGGGACAGGGCCUUCUCUGUUGCUGCUCCUAGACUCUGGAAUGCUCUCCUGGUGGUCAUUCGUUCCUCGGACUCCAUCAUAGCUUUUAGAAAGCUUUUAAAGACUUGGCUUUUUACCCAGGCUUUUACAUAAUCGUUUUUUACUGCUGUUCUUGUGUGUUUUUUAUCUGAUAACAAGAGUUUUUAUGUAUGUUUUUAGCUUGAUGUUUUAACUGCUUUUAUUGUAUGUUUUAAUUUUUGUAAACCGCCUUGGGGUUUUCUUUUAACGAAAGGCGGUAUAAAAAUGUAAAAAUAAAUAAAUAAAAUAAACACUGCUAUAGGAAGUUGCUACAUCACUAGUUUUGUGAUGUGCGGUGGAGGUCAACAAUUUAUAGCAAGCCUCUUGUGUAAGCCUAAGCAGCUAUCCUAUCCAAAGAGUCAGAGAGUUAAUAUUACUCUCAGUGACGAAAACAGGAGAGGACUUUUACCUAGCAGCAUUUUACAUUAGCAUAAAGCAAAGGUAGUGGAAAGAGAGAGAAAAAACUGACCAAUACCACUGCAGCAGCAGAAAACAAUCACUAAUCUAUUAAAAUUCUUUGAACAUCCUGCCAAACUGCUGGACAAAUCUGAAUGAUUUGUCUGUAAUCUGUCUGAACAGCUUUCACCAAGGCUGCCUACACUUUUUUUUUAAAAAAAGAGGAUUCUCACCCUCUUGAUAAUCAGGACAUCAAAGACUUGAAAGAAAUGAAUGUUUGGUAUGAUACUAACUACACAACGACUGUGCUGGUAUUGUUCAAGACAUAAAUUACAAUAGAAUUAUUUACUAAUUUUGAAAACAAGGGGAAAUAUGUGCUAAAUAUGUUGUGCCAAUAUUUGAUGACAUGAGACUGCUUGGACUGCUCAGACCUAGAGUAGAACCUUUAUGGGUUUCUAAGGAGGUGAUUCCAUUGCAGGAGAAGCUUAAGGCACAAAAUAGUAACACAUGUAGCUAACAGUGGAUGGAUUGUUUCCCUUGUGCACAUCUAAAUUAACUUCAGAAAGGUUUCUGGGCAUGCCAGAGUUCUCAUUCAGUCGAUAUAUACAGUAGACAUAACUAGAGGAAGGUUUUUGUUUUAACGUUUUACUUUCUGUUUUUAUUUUGUUGCAAACCACACGGAGACGUAGGUUUUGGGUGGUAUAAAAUAUGUUAAAUAAAUAAAUAAAUAAAAUAAAAUAAAAUAUCAAAUCACUGAUGACAAAUUAUCGGACAAUUUUUAUAGGCCUGUGGGAAGUGUAUCUCUUCCAAGUAGGGAUGAAUUGAUUAGACACUAGUCUGGCUGCUUCAAGUGGUUCGACCUCAAAUUGAAUCACCCUUGGGGGCACUGACCAGAUUUGACGUUGAAUCUAAUCACCCUAGAUUUGAGUUCAAAUUGAUUCGGUGAUUCGAGUCACUAUUAUAUCCCCACAAUGCCAGUUCUCCUAGUUUCUCUGCCACUCUGGUUGGUUCCUUUGUACUAUUCCACGACUGGCUGGAGUGGAUUCUCAGUUUGAAAUAACUUCUUCAUAGGGAAUACCUAUGAAAAAGUUAUUUCACAACCGAGAAUCCACAACACACAAAAAUUCCUAAAAAUCCACUUCUUUGCAUGAUUCCUUUGGGGACUGGGUGGUAUUUGGCACCCAUGGGACCCUGCCACCCACUUUGGUGCCCCCUAGCCCUUAAAAAGUAGGUCAAAUCUAUUCUAAUCGAAUUAAAUCGGUCCCAGAUUCAAGGCAUCAGAUUCAAGCCCAAAUAGAAUCACGCUGUUUUGAUUUGAACUCAAAUCUAAUUGCAAAAAUUGAUUUGUGCACAUUCCUACUUCCAAAUACUGGAGAACCUUCUUGAUGGUCUGGUACCGAAGAUGUUUCAGGAGUGAUCUGCCUUGGAUUGUAUUCUCUCUCUCUCUCUCUCUCUCUCAUAUAAUUGGGUUAUAUUAUGUACAAACAAAAUUGAUUUUAUCAGCCACCAUAUCAGUUCACCCCCUCACCAGCAUCUUUUAAAUAAAGGAUUGAUUCUUUCUUCAUAACCACUCGUGUACAUUUUUAUCACAUUUCAUCUAUUCUACUCAUGCACCAGCAACUUUUCAACAUUAGGUUAGAAAAUGAAAAUGAUCUUCCUGACUGUAGUAGAAUCCAGUCUGAUCUUGGUUUUGGAAACAUGAUAGUGUGAGACUGGGAGCCCAACAAACCAACAUAACAUGUGUUGUAAACAAUGGACUGGCAUCCUAAGCUGUGGCAAAGUGCCUGGAGUAAAUGCUUGAGGUCUGAAUAGCAGGCCAUUGUUACUACUCUCUUCCCGCUUUGAACUACUACUAUUACUACUACAGAUAUUUAUAUACUACUGUUCAACAAAAGUUCUCAAAGGAAUUUACACAGAAAAACACAAAUAAAUAAGAAGGUUCCCUGUCCAUAAAGGUCUCACAAUCUUAAAAAACAAAAUAAAAAUAAAAAUACUGGAGGGAUGCUGUGCUGGAGAUGGAUAGGCCCAGUUGCUCUCCCCUUUCUAAAUUAGAGAAUCUUCACUUUAAAAGGCAACUCUUUGCUCAAUUAGCAGGGGCAUUUUGAAACUUCAUAUCUGAUCAUUGUGCUACCUAAUAAUCAUGCAUUCAGAGAAAUGAUGCUUUGUUCAAAACAAAUCAUGAGCUACUACAAGCAUGUCUGUUUCCCCACCAAUACUUGGUAAAAUAUGGUCAUGUUACUAUUUAUGGUCAUGUUUCAACAGACAAAGGGCCACUAUGACAGCGUGCUACACUGCUCCAGAUUUUAUAAAAGUGGGAGUUGAGGUACAAUUGAUUAGAAACUCGUGUAACAUCAGAGAAGACAGCUUGGCUGUGCCAAGCAAAGUGAUAAUGUCUUUGCUCCUGGAUUCCUGAAACAUCAAGAAAGAAAACAUCAAGAAAGAUGGCAAGGCACGGAACUAGUACGUCUGGGAGGCUUCUCAGAGGUCGUACUGGUAGAAAAAAUGGUAGAUGCAGGUCAGGUGCUGAUAUGCCAAUAAAGAAGAGAAGAGGGUAUGUACGUGUCUGUAACACAUACUACUACUGGAAAGGAAGGAGACAUUCCAAGUAACUGCCUUCCGCAUAGUACUUAGGAAUUCCAUCUUUGGCACCAGUGAGUAACCACCAGGCAUCUGCCAUGAAAAGGGAAGUCAUCGAAUAAGUCACCAGUAACCUGAGGGAAGGCUGCAAAAUCCAGGAGCACUCCUAUUAUAGGAGCUUGACAUGUCUGUCUGUCAAUAAACUCAUGAAAACUCA
Molecule: long non-coding RNA, 3919 nt
Organism: Hemicordylus capensis (graceful crag lizard)
Lineage: Eukaryota; Metazoa; Chordata; Lepidosauria; Squamata; Cordylidae
Exons: 2
Source: RefSeq, a predicted model, not a curated record